Molecule: long non-coding RNA, 515 nt
Organism: Syngnathus typhle (broad-nosed pipefish)
Lineage: Eukaryota; Metazoa; Chordata; Actinopteri; Syngnathiformes; Syngnathidae
Exons: 4
Source: RefSeq, a predicted model, not a curated record
GUGCAUAAAAACUCGCAGUGGACUUGAAGACGGGUUGACAGCUUGACAGGACGCCAACACUUUUGGAUUGUGUCAUAUGCAUUGAAAGUAGCAGUGUUUUCGUGAUAAUGGUGCCCGCAUCGCUUGUUUGCAUUGCAGCACGUCUGGAACCGGGGAGUUCAUUCAAGGGUAUAUUCCGUCCAAUUUCUGUCAUAGGAGCUGUGUCAACAGGAUAGUUGUUAAUCAGUGAGCCCCACUGGAGGCCAACCGAGACCUAAAGCUUUGGCUGCAGGGUGUCCGGGGACCACAGUUUGAGAAACACUGGAGUAAACGUCCUUCAUUUUCUGCAAUCAUUGUAAACAUGCACGACGUCUACAAAUCCUGGCCUCUAUUACCAAGCUCUUCAAUGGAGGCAACGUCGCAAGCGUCUGGCUGAUCCUGUGGUUGAGUUUCACCUGCGCCAUAACGCCCGUCCGCCGACCUUGGCAGGAAGAAGACGGCCUUCUGUGUCAGAUCCGCCUUGGGGCCCGCUUUAG